CAGUCGCCACGGUAAUACGGAGGAUCCAAGCGUUAUCCGGAAUCAUUGGGUUUAAAGGGUCCGUAGGCGGUCUUGUAAGUCAGUGGUGAAAGCCCAUCGCUCAACGGUGGAACGGCCAUUGAUACUGCAGGACUUGAAUUAUUGGGAAGUAACUAGAAUAUGUAGUGUAGCGGUGAAAUGCUUAGAGAUUACAUGGAAUACCAAUUGCGAAGGCAGGUUACUACCAAUUGAUUGACGCUGAUGGACGAAAGCGUGGGUAGCGAACAGGAUUAGAGACCCCCGUAGUCCCUGUCUCUUAUAC
This 301-nucleotide ribosomal RNA is filed under the name uncultured bacterium. RNAcentral describes it as "partial 16S ribosomal RNA". It matches the Rfam family "Bacterial small subunit ribosomal RNA", at positions 509 to 807 of the family's 1533-position model. The record is from RNAcentral.